CCUACGGGUGGCUGCAGUGAGGAAUAUUGGUCAAUGGGCGCAAGCCUGAACCAGCCAAGCCGCGUGCAGGAAGACGGCUCUAUGAGUUGUAAACUGCUUUUGUCCGGGGGUAAACGCAGAUACGCGUAUCUGUCUGAAAGUAUCUUACGAAUAAGGAUCGGCUAACUCCGUGCCAGCAGCCGCGGUAAUAAGGAGGAUUCGAGCGUUAUCCGGAUUUAUUGGGGUUAAAGGGUGCCUAGGCGGUCGUAUAAGUUCGCGGGGAAAUCCCGAGGCUCAACUUCGGAAUUGCCUUUGAUACUGGUGGGCUAGAGAGUAGGAGAGGUAGGCGGAAUGUAUGGUGUAGCGGUGAAAUGCUUAGAGAGCACACAGAACACCGAUGGCGAAGGCAGCUUACCAAGCUACCUCUGACGUUGAGGCACGAAAGCGUGGGGAGCAAACAGGAUUAGAUACCCGAGUAGUC
This 460-nucleotide ribosomal RNA is filed under the name uncultured bacterium. RNAcentral's name for it is "partial 16S ribosomal RNA". It matches the Rfam family "Bacterial small subunit ribosomal RNA", at positions 338 to 795 of the family's 1533-position model. The record is from RNAcentral.